This is a non-coding RNA of Acanthosepion pharaonis, 111 nucleotides long. NCBI's taxonomy places the organism in Eukaryota, Metazoa, Mollusca, Cephalopoda, Sepiida, Sepiidae. The record is from the annotation of a GenBank genome assembly.
UACGGCUACAUCGCAUUGAAACACUGGUUCCCAUACAAUUAUCUAAGUUAAGCAACGUCGAGCCUGGUCAGUACCUAGAAGGGUGACCGCUUGAGAAUACCAAGUGCUGUA